UCGAGAAUCUUCCGCAAUGGGCGAAAGCCUGACGGAGCGACGCCGCGUGGAGGACGAAGGCCUUCGGGUUGUAAACUCCUGUCACGGAUUAAGAAUGGCUCGGCGUGAACAACGCCGGGAUUGACGUAAGUCCGAGAGGAAGCACUGGCUAACUCUGUGCCAGCAGCCGCGGUAAUACAGAGAGUGCAAACGUUGUUCGGAAUUACUGGGCUUAAAGCGCACGUAGGCGGCUCCGCAAGUGUCGGGUGAAAUCCCACGGCUUACCCGUGGAACUGCCCGGCAGACUGCGGAGCUAGAGGAUGGUAGGGGAGAGCGGAACUCCUGGUGGAGCGGUGAAAUGCGUAGAUAUCAGGAGGAACACCGGUGGCGAAGGCGGCUCUCUGGUCCAUUUCUGACGCUG
RNAcentral lists this ribosomal RNA (400 nucleotides) under uncultured bacterium. RNAcentral describes it as "bacterial SSU rRNA". It matches the Rfam family "Bacterial small subunit ribosomal RNA", at positions 355 to 748 of the family's 1533-position model. The record is from RNAcentral.